AACGAACGCUGGCGGCAUGCCUAACACAUGCAAGUCGAACGAGACCUUCGGGUCUAGUGGCGCACGGGUGCGUAACGCGUGGGAAUCUGCCCCUUGGUUCGGAAUAACUUCGGGAAACUGAAGCUAAUACCGGAUAAUGACGUAAGUCCAAAGAUUUAUCGCCAAGGGAUGAGCCCGCGUAGGAUUAGCUAGUUGGUGGGGUAAAGGCUCACCAAGGCGACGAUCCUUAGCUGGUCUGAGAGGAUGAUCAGCCACACUGGGACUGAGACACGGCCCAGACUCCUACGGGAGGCAGCAGUGGGGAAUAUUGGACAAUGGGCGAAAGCCUGAUCCAGCAAUGCCGCGUGAGUGAUGAAGGCCUUAGGGUUGUAAAGCUCUUUUACCCGGGAUGAUAAUGACAGUACCGGGAGAAUAAGCUCCGGCUAACUCCGUGCCAGCAGCCGCGGUAAU
RNAcentral lists this ribosomal RNA (450 nucleotides) under uncultured bacterium. RNAcentral describes it as "bacterial SSU rRNA". It matches the Rfam family "Bacterial small subunit ribosomal RNA", at positions 29 to 524 of the family's 1533-position model. The record is from RNAcentral.